UAGGGAAUAUUCCGCAAUGGGCGAAAGCCUGACGGAGCAACGCCGCGUGAGUGAAGAAGAUCUUCGGAUUGUAAAGCUCUGUCAACAGGGACGAUAAUGACGGUACCUGUGGAGGAAGCCACGGCAAACUACGUGCCAGCAGCCGCGGUAAUACGUAGGUGGCAAGCGUUGUCCGGAAUAACUGGGCGUAACGCGCAUGUAGACGGCAUAGCAAGCCAAGGGUGAAAGUGAGGGGCUUAACCUCUAAACUGCGCGUGGAACUGCUGAGCUUGAGUGCAGGAGAGGCUAGUGGAAUUCCCAGUGUAGCAGUGAAAUGCGUAGAUAUUGGGAGGAACACCAGUGGCGAAGGCGACUUGCUGGACUGCAACUGACGUUGAGAUGCGAAAGCUAGGGGAGCAAACG
RNAcentral lists this ribosomal RNA (402 nucleotides) under uncultured prokaryote. RNAcentral describes it as "bacterial SSU rRNA". It matches the Rfam family "Bacterial small subunit ribosomal RNA", at positions 355 to 774 of the family's 1533-position model. The record is from RNAcentral.